CCUACGGGUGGCAGCAGUGGGGGAUAUUGCACAAUGGGGGAAACCCUGAUGCAGCGACGCCGCGUGUGGGAAGACGGUCCUCUGGAUUGUAAACCACUGUCCCCAGGGACGAAGAUGACGGUACCUGGGGCGGCAGCUCCGGCUAACUCCGUGCCAGCAGCCGCGGUAAUACGGAGGAUGCGAGCGUUAUCCGGAUGUAUUGGGUUUAAAGGGUGCGUAGGCGGAAGGUUAAGUCAGCGGUCAACUGUCGGUGCUCAACACCGGCCUGCCGUUGAAACUGGUCUUCUUGAGUGAGCGAGAAGUAGGCGGAAUGCGUGGUGUAGCGGUGAAAUGCAUAGAUAUCACGAAGAACUCCGAUUGCGAAGGCAGCAUACCGGCGCUCAACUGACGCUGAGGCACGAAAGCGUGGGGAUCGAACAGGAUUAGAUACCCUAGUAGUC
This 440-nucleotide ribosomal RNA is filed under the name uncultured bacterium. Its description in RNAcentral is "partial 16S ribosomal RNA". It matches the Rfam family "Bacterial small subunit ribosomal RNA", at positions 338 to 795 of the family's 1533-position model. The record is from RNAcentral.